UACGGCCACUUCACAUUGAAACCCAAGUUCCCGUAUGAUCACUGAAGUUCAGCAACAUCGAGCCUGGUCAGUACCUAGAUGGGUGACCGCUUGGAAAUAACGGGU
Acanthosepion pharaonis is the source of this 105-nucleotide non-coding RNA. The record is from the annotation of a GenBank genome assembly. Lineage: Eukaryota; Metazoa; Mollusca; Cephalopoda; Sepiida; Sepiidae.